RNAcentral lists this ribosomal RNA (253 nucleotides) under uncultured bacterium. Its description in RNAcentral is "partial 16S ribosomal RNA". It matches the Rfam family "Bacterial small subunit ribosomal RNA", at positions 524 to 776 of the family's 1533-position model. The record is from RNAcentral.
UACGUAGGUGGCAAGCGUUGUCCGGAUUUAUUGGGUUUAAAGGGUGCGUAGGUGGCCCUGUAAGUCAGUGGUGAAAUAUCUCAGCUUAACUGAGAGGGUGCCAUGGAUACUGCAGGGCUUGAGUACAGAUGAGGUAGGCGGAAUUGACGGUGUAGCGGUGAAAUGCAUAGAUAUCGUCAAGAACACCGAUAGCGAAGGCAGCUUACCAAGCUGUAACUGACACUGAGGCACGAAAGUGUGGGGAUCAAACAGG